GACCACUUUUUUUCUCCAAAACUUAUUUUUUAAGGUGCAAUAAAACACCUUUAUAUAUAGUUUACUUAAAACUUUUAUAAAAACUAGCGUCUACGUGUAGCUGAAGUACGUUCAAGUGAAUCUUUUUGGCUAACAAAGAUCAAAAAAGCUGCUGCUGGAAUAACUAUAAGUAAAGCUGCAGCGAAGAAACUCGCUAUCAUAUUGAAGCCCGAACUACCAGCCACUUCUGGGGAAACAUCAGCCGCUA
This 247-nucleotide non-coding RNA is filed under the name Prochlorococcus marinus subsp. pastoris str. CCMP1986. Lineage: Bacteria; Bacillati; Cyanobacteriota; Cyanophyceae; Synechococcales; Prochlorococcaceae. The record is from RNAcentral.